CCUUUUUUUUUCUUUAUUAAUUAUUUUUUAUUUAUCUUUUAAUAUCCCAUAACAAUUUCAUCCAUCCAUCUCUUAUAUUUAAAAGCACGCAUCCUUUGUUGUGCAAGCGAUGCACAGCAUGUACCGUCCAUCGCAAGAUGGACGGCCGCAUGGGACUGCACGAGGCUGCACACUAUGCGAUAUAUGCCCACGCAUGGCCACGUGUAAUCAUCCAUCGUAUGAUGGAUGGUACGUACGAUACUCUUUUAUAAUAUUUUAUUAUAAAGAAUAUUUAAGUUAUUAC
RNAcentral lists this long non-coding RNA (283 nucleotides) under Elaeis guineensis (African oil palm). Its description in RNAcentral is "long non-coding RNA (EGUI_LNC020147)". Lineage: Eukaryota; Viridiplantae; Streptophyta; Magnoliopsida; Arecales; Arecaceae. The record is from RNAcentral.